UUCGGAAGGAUCAUUAAAGAGUAAGGGUGCUCAGCGCCCGACCUCCAACCCUUUGUUGUUAAAACUACCUUGUUGCUUUGGCGGGACCGCUCGGUCUCGAGCCGCUGGGGAUUCGUCCCAGGCGAGCGCCCGCCAGAGUUAAACCAAACUCUUGUUAUUAAACCGGUCGUCUGAGUUAAAAUUUUGAAUAAAUCAAAACUUUCAACAACGGAUCUCUUGGUUCUCGCAUCGAUGAAGAACGCAGCGAAAUGCGAUAAGUAAUGUGAAUUGCAGAAUUCAGUGAAUCAUCGAAUCUUUGAACGCACAUUGCGCCCCUUGGUAUUCCGAGGGGCAUGCCUGUUCGAGCGUCAUUACACCACUCAAGCUAUGCUUGGUAUUGGGUGCCGUCCUUAGUUGGGCGCGCCUUAAAGACCUCGGCGAGGCCUCACCGGCUUUAGGCGUAGUAGAAUUUAUUCGAACGUCUGUCAAAGGAGAGGACUUCUGCCGACUGAAACCUUUUAUUUUUCUAGGUUGACCUCGGAUCAGGUAGGGAUACCCGCUGAACUUAAGCAUA
This 553-nucleotide ribosomal RNA is filed under the name Aureobasidium sp. RNAcentral describes it as "eukaryotic LSU rRNA". The stretch from base 197 to 350 matches the Rfam family "5.8S ribosomal RNA". The record is from RNAcentral. Lineage: Eukaryota; Fungi; Ascomycota; Dothideomycetes; Dothideales; Saccotheciaceae.